Molecule: long non-coding RNA, 618 nt
Organism: Callorhinchus milii (elephant shark)
Lineage: Eukaryota; Metazoa; Chordata; Chondrichthyes; Chimaeriformes; Callorhinchidae
Exons: 4
Source: RefSeq, a predicted model, not a curated record
UUUGUGGUGUCUCUCAAUUCUGGAGUGACUGGAGCAAUGAAGUGUUUAUUGAAGCAGAACACUCAGGAAGCUUUUCCAGUUCCCCGAUGCUCAUAUUACUUGUGGUGGUUCUAAACCUGAGUGUGCUUGUCAUUAUAUGUUUGUUGAAAAGGGUGAUAAAGAAAAUGCUCGUACCAGUUCCCGAUCCCCAGAGAAAGUUCCCAGAGUUGUUUGGAAAAUACAACGGUGACUUUCAGCAGUGGCUCGGUUACAAGGAACAGAUCUGGAUAGCGGCUGAGUGCACGACAGCUCCUAUUGAAGAAAACUAAAGUGACUCAAUGUGCAACUCGGUAGCCUGAGGUCGCUGUCCAGUGUGAAGGGCACUGUAUGAAUGCAAGUUGUUGUUGAGAUUGUUUCGUGAGGCCCAAAGUACGGCCUCCAAUGCAAUCCCCACCCUCGGCCCCAACCCACCCAGUGAUUGGGAAAUAGAGGUUCAAUAUUCCCCAAACAAAGGUGUGUUCAGCCAGGAAUCCAGGUCAUAGGUUUAACAGCUGAACCCAACUGGGCAAGUGUGGUAAAUACAGAUUAGGGGGAGGGAGAGAGGGACAGAGACACAGAGACACACAUAUACAAACACUC